GUUUGAUCCUGGCUCAGGACGAACGCUUGCGGCGUGCCUAAGAAAUGCAAGUCGAACGGAUGGCUUCGGCCAUUAGUGGCGAACGGUCGCGUAACACGUAGGCAACCUGCCCAAAAGUGGGGGACAACAGCCUGAAAGGGCUGCUAAUACCGCAUGUGGCCCGGAGUUGGCAUCAACUCUGGUCUAAAGCUUAAUGCGCUUUUGGAUGGGCUUGCGGCCUAUCAGGUAGUUGGUGGGGUAAUGGCCUACCAAGCCGACGACGGGUAGCUGGUCUGAGAGGACGAUCAGCCGGAUUGGGACUGAGAUACGGCCCAGACUCCUACGGGGGGCAGCAAUUAGGAAUCUUGCGCAAUGGGGGCAACCCUGACGCAGCGACGCCGCGUGCGGGAUGAAGGCAUUCGUGUCGUAAACCGCUUUUUACGGGGAAGAAGAAUUUGACGGUACCCGUCGAAUAGGCCCCGGCUAACUACGUGCCAGCAGCCGCGGUAAUACGUAGGGGGCGAGCGUUGUCCGAAGUUACUGGGCGUAAAGCGCGCGUAGGCGGUUUCUUAAGUUCGGGGUGAAAGGUUCAACGCUCAACGUGAACAGUGCCUUGAAUACUGGGAGACUUGAGUUCGGGAGAGGGCAGUGGAAUUCCUGGUGUAGCGGUGAAAUGCGUAGAUAUCAGGAGGAACACCGAUGGCGAAGGCAGCUGCCUGGCCUAGAACUGACGCUGAGGUGCGAAAGCGUGGGGGAGCGAACAGGAUUAGAUACCCUGGUAGUCCACGCCGUAAACGAUGGAUACUCGCUGGCAGCGAUACACUGUUGCUGGCUUAGCGAAAGCGGUAAGUAUCCCACCUGGGGAGUACGCUCGCAAGAGUGAAACUCAAAGGAAUUGACGGGGGCCCGCACAAGUGGUGGAGCAUGUGGUUUAAUUCGAUGAUACGCGAGGAACCUUACCUAGGCUAGAAUGCGCGUGACCGGUUCAGAGAUGAGCCUUUCUUCGGGACACAAAGCAAGGUGCUGCAUGGCCGUCGUCAGCUCGUGCCGUGAGGUGUUGGGUUAAGUCCCGCAACGAGCGCAACCCCUACAUUUAGUUGCCAGCGGAUUAUGCCGGGGACUCUAGAUGGACUGCCUGCGCAAGCAGUGAGGAAGGCGGGGACGACGUCAGGUCAUCAUGGCCCUUACGCCUAGGGCUACACACGUGCUACAAUGGACGGUACAGCGGGUUGCCAACCAGCGAUGGUGCGCCAAUCCCGAAAAGCCGUUCUCAGUUCGGAUCGGAGUCUGCAACUCGACUCCGUGAAGCUGGAAUCACUAGUAAUCGCGUAUCAGCAAUGACGCGGUGAAUACGUUCCCGGGCCUUGUACACACCGCCCGUCAAGCCAUGAAAGUCUGGUAGACCUGAAGCCGGUGUCCGCAACGAAGCCGGUUAGGGUAGAACAGGUAAUUAGGGCUAAGUCGUAACAAGGUA
This 1453-nucleotide ribosomal RNA is filed under the name uncultured Bacteroidota/Chlorobiota group bacterium. RNAcentral's name for it is "uncultured Bacteroidetes/Chlorobi group bacterium partial 16S ribosomal RNA". It matches the Rfam family "Bacterial small subunit ribosomal RNA". The record is from RNAcentral. Lineage: Bacteria; Pseudomonadati.